UACGGAGGGUGCGAGCGUUGUCCGGAAUCACUGGGCGUAAAGCGUGCGCAGGCGGUUUUAUAAGCCAGAUGUGAAAGCCCCGGGCUCAACCUGGGAAUGGCAUUUGGGACUGUAAGGCUGGAGUAUGGCAGAGGAGACUAGAAUUCCUGGUGUAGCAGUGAAAUGCGUAGAUAUCAGGAGGAAUACCGAUGGCGAAGGCAGGUCUCUGGGCCAAUACUGACGCUCAUGCACGAAAGCGUGGGGAGCAAACAGG
Molecule: ribosomal RNA, 253 nt
Filed under: uncultured bacterium
Lineage: Bacteria
Description: partial 16S ribosomal RNA
Rfam family: Bacterial small subunit ribosomal RNA
Source: RNAcentral